This 443-nucleotide ribosomal RNA is filed under the name uncultured bacterium. Its description in RNAcentral is "partial 16S ribosomal RNA". It matches the Rfam family "Bacterial small subunit ribosomal RNA", at positions 338 to 795 of the family's 1533-position model. The record is from RNAcentral.
CCUACGGGAGGCAGCAGUGGGGAAUAUUGGGCAAUGGGCGCAAGCCUGACCCAGCAACGCCGCGUGAAGGAAGAAGGCUUUCGGGUUGUAAACUUCUUUUAUGAGGGACGAAAGAAAUGACGGUACCUCAUGAAUAAGCCACGGCUAACUACGUGCCAGCAGCCGCGGUAAUACGUAGGUGGCAAGCGUUAUCCGGAUUUACUGGGUGUAAAGGGCGUGUAGGCGGGACUGCAAGUCAGAUGUGAAAAUUAUGGGCUCAACCCAUAACCUGCAUUUGAAACUGUAGUUCUUGAGUGAAGUAGAGGCAGGCGGAAUGCCUAGUGUAGCGGUGAAAUGCGUAGAUAUUAGGAGGAACACCAGUGGCGAAGGCGGCCUGCUGGGCUUUUACUGACGCUGAGGCUCGAAAGUGUGGGGAGCAAACAGGAUUAGAUACCCCUGUAGUC